AGUGAACGCUGGCGGUAGGCCUAACACAUGCAAGUCGAACGGCAGCACAGUAAGAGCUUGCUCUUACGGGUGGCGAGUGGCGGACGGGUGAGGAAUACAUCGGAAUCUACUUUUUCGUGGGGGAUAACGUAGGGAAACUUACGCUAAUACCGCAUACGACCUACGGGUGAAAGCAGGGGAUCUUCGGACCUUGCGCGAUUGAAUGAGCCGAUGUCGGAUUAGCUAGUUGGCGGGGUAAAGGCCCACCAAGGCGACGAUCCGUAGCUGGUCUGAGAGGAUGAUCAGCCACACUGGAACGGAGACACGGUCCAGACCCCGACGGGAGGAAGAAGGGGGGAAUAUGGGACAAUGGGCGCAAGCCUGAUCCAGCCAUACGGCGGGGGUGAAGAAGGCUUUCGGGUUGUAAAGCCCUUUUGUUGGGAAAGAAAGCAGCAGGUUAAUACCCCGCUGUUCUGACGGUACCCAAAGAAUAAGCACCGGCUAACUUCGUG
This 491-nucleotide ribosomal RNA is filed under the name uncultured bacterium. RNAcentral's name for it is "partial 16S ribosomal RNA". It matches the Rfam family "Bacterial small subunit ribosomal RNA", at positions 29 to 507 of the family's 1533-position model. The record is from RNAcentral.